RNAcentral lists this ribosomal RNA (500 nucleotides) under Trapezia bella. RNAcentral describes it as "partial 16S ribosomal RNA". It matches the Rfam family "Bacterial large subunit ribosomal RNA", at positions 1819 to 2577 of the family's 2925-position model. The record is from RNAcentral. Lineage: Eukaryota; Metazoa; Arthropoda; Malacostraca; Decapoda; Trapeziidae.
GUCUAUUAUGAAGUUGUUAAUAGUCUGGCCUGCUCCCUGAUUAUAAAUUAAAGAGCCGCGGUAAUUUGACCGUGCAAAGGUAGCAUAAUCAUUAGUUUCUUAAUUGGGAACUUGUAUGAAAGGUUUGACAAAGAAAAAGCUGUCUUUAUUAUAAAAAUUGAAUUUAACUUUUAAGUGAAAAGGCUUGAAUGAUUUAGAGGGACGAUAAGACCCUAUAAAGCUUUAUAUAAAAAAUAAUUAAGACUGAAUUUACAAUAAUAUUCUGAAUUAAUUAUAUAUUUUGUUGGGGUGAUAUUAAUAAAAUUAAUAUUAACUGUUAAAAGAUGAUACGUGAAUAAAAGGGUUAAAACUGUUAGUGAUCCUUAUUUAAAGAUUAAAAGAUUAAGUUACUUUAGGGAUAACAGCGUAAUUUUUCUUAAGAGCCCAUAUCGAAAGAAAAGAUUUCGACCUCGAUGUUGAAUUAAGAUAUCUGUGUAGAGUAGCCGUUACAUAAGAAGGUC